RNAcentral lists this long non-coding RNA (1070 nucleotides) under Marmota monax (woodchuck). The record is from RNAcentral. Lineage: Eukaryota; Metazoa; Chordata; Mammalia; Rodentia; Sciuridae.
GUGGUCUCCUGCUGCGGCCCGGCACCGAGGGGCGGCCGAGCCGGGCGGGAAGCGGAGGGGGCUAGGGGGCCGGGCGCGGCCAGCCAGGUGCCUGUGCGCGGGGAAGACAGGUUGGGGGGGAACCAGAAGUUCCAACAGUCUGAAACGCGACCUACUGCCUUAAUCUCAGACAUUUGCUUUUAUUUUUAAACUCACUUUUCUGACGUGACAACUCUUUCUGGAUCCUAAAUAAUUAAAACAAAGCCGAACGCGGUGGCGCACGCCUGUCAUCCCAGCGCUGGGGAGGCCAAGGCAGGAGGAUGGCGAGUUCAAACCAGCCUCAGCAAAAGCCGCAGCAAAAGCAAGGAGCUAAGCAACUCAGUGAGACCCUGUCUCUAAACAAAAUACAUGUGGCUCAGUGGACGAAUGCCCCUGAGUUCAAUCCCCAGUGCCAAAUAAUGAUAAUAAUAUGAACAAACAAAUGCAGCAAAUCUGAAGCUCUCUGCAAGGAUCUGGUACUGUACUUUUUAUGGACUCGCCCAUUCUAGGCAUUCCGUGUCAUCUGGAUCAUGGCCUUCUAUGACUGGCUCCUUUCAGGAGGCGUGUUCCAGCCGGAGUGGGUACUCUGGGUAGAGCUGGGCUUGCGGGGCUUUACUCCGUGAUAGGAAUGGACUCCGUUUUGUGUGUCCAUUCAUCAGUUUGUGGACUUUGGGUGGCUUCCUCCUCUAUGAACGUGCAGGUGUGAGUUUUUGGGCAGUCAUGUUUUCCUUUCUCGUGUAUCAAGGAGUACAAUUACUGGGUCAUAUGGUAACUUUAUGUUUAACUCUCGGAGAAACUGCCAGAUUGUUUUCCAAUGACUGCAUCAUUUUAUAGUCCCUUCAGCAAUGUAUCAGGAUUCUCAUCUCUCCAAAUCUUUGCCAAUACUUGUAAUCAUGUGAUUAUUUUUAAUUUUAGCCCUCCUAGUGGGUGUGAAGUGGUAUUGCACUGUGGUUUUGAUUUUCAUUUCCUUGUUAAUAAUGCUGACCCUGAUCAUAUGCUUAUUGGUCAUCUGUAUGUCUUUGAAAAAAAAUGCCUAUUCAGAUAAAUUUGAC